GACGAACUUUGGCGGCGUGCUUAACACAUGCAAGUCGAACGGAAAGGCCCUGCUUUUGUGGGGUGCUCGAGUGGCGAACGGGUGAGUAACACGUGAGUAACCUGCCCUUGACUUUGGGAUAACUUCAGGAAACUGGGGCUAAUACCGGAUGGGAGCUCCUGCUGCAUGGUGGGGGUUGGAAAGUUUCGGCGGUUGGGGAUGGACUCGCGGCUUAUCAGCUUGUUGGUGGGGUAGUGGCUUACCAAGGCUUUGACGGGUAGCCGGCCUGAGAGGGUGACCGGCCACAUUGGGACUGAGAUACGGCCCAGACUCCUACGGGAGGCAGCAGUGGGGAAUAUUGCACAAUGGGCGGAAGCCUGAUGCAGCAACGCCGCGUGCGGGAUGACGGCCUUCGGGUUGUAAACCGCUUUCGCCUGUGACGAAUCGUGAGUGACGGUAAUGGGUAAAGAAGCACCGGCUAACUACGUGCCAGCAGCCGCGGUGAUACGUAGGGUGCGAGCGUUGUCCGGAUUUAUUGGGCGUAAAGGGCUCGUUGGUGGUUGAUCGCGUCGGAAGUGUAAUCUUGGGGCUUAACCCUGAGCGUGCUUUCGAUACGGGUUGACUUGAGGAAGGUAGGGGAGAAUGGAAUUCCUGGUGGAGCGGUGGAAUGCGCAGAUAUCAGGAGGAACACCAGUGGCGAAGGCGGUUCUCUGGGCCUUUCCUGACGCUGAGGAGCGAAAGCGUGGGGAGCGAACAGGCUUAGAUACCCUGGUAGUCCACGCUGUAAACGGUGGGUACUAGGUGUGGGGUCCAUUCCACGGGUUCCGUGCCGUAGCUAACGCUUUAAGUACCCCGCCUGGGGAGUACGGCCGCAAGGCUAAAACUCAAAGGAAUUGACGGGGCCCCGCACAAGCGGCGGAGCAUGCGGAUUAAUUCGAUGCAACGCGUAGAACCUUACCUGGGUUUGACAUGGAUCGGGAGUGCUCAGAGAUGGGUGUGCCUCUUUUGGGGUCGGUUCACAGGUGGUGCAUGCCUGUCGUCAGCUCGUGUCGUGAGAUGUUGGGUUAAGUCCCGCAACGAGCGCAACCCUUGUUCACUGUUGCCAGCACGUUAUGGUGGGGACUCAGUGGAGACCGCCGGGGUCAACUCGGAGGAAGGUGGGGAUGACGUCAAGUCAUCAUGCCCCUUAUGUCCAGGGCUUCACGCAUGCUACAAUGGCUGGUACAGAGAGUGGCGAGCCUGUGAGGGUGAGCGAAUCUCGGAAAGCCGGUCUCAGUUCGGAUUGGGGUCUGCAACUCGACCUCAUGAAGUCGGAGUCGCUAGUAAUCGCAAAAAAGCAACGCUGCGGUGAAUACGUUCCCGGGGCU
Molecule: ribosomal RNA, 1346 nt
Filed under: uncultured bacterium
Lineage: Bacteria
Description: partial 16S ribosomal RNA
Rfam family: Bacterial small subunit ribosomal RNA
Source: RNAcentral